Molecule: transfer RNA, 87 nt
Filed under: Chondromyces crocatus
Lineage: Bacteria; Pseudomonadati; Myxococcota; Polyangiales; Polyangiaceae
Description: tRNA-Leu
Rfam family: tRNA
About the family: Transfer RNA (tRNA) molecules are approximately 80 nucleotides in length. Their secondary structure includes four short double-helical elements and three loops (D, anti-codon, and T loops).
Source: RNAcentral
GGCCCUGUGGCGGAACUGGCAGACGCGGUGGAUUUAAAAUCUACUGCCCGGGAGGGCGUUCCGGUUCGAUUCCGGACGGGGCUACCU